GAAAUCCUAGCAGCACUGGAGGAUUCAUCUCCCCGCCCUGCUGUGCCGUGGAGAUGGGGUGCCCCGCGAGGAAGCGAUGUCCCCUCCUGCGCAUGGAUUUCGGCUGAAUGUCAAACCAGCAUGGCUACUGGGAGAACUGGGACAGGAAAAUGAGCUGGGAAUCGUCUGAUGGAGCUGCUCUCCACCACGGGAACCCUGUGCUGUGCCCCUCUGAACACUGAAUUUGGGAAUAUUUGGGAUGUGCAUGGUGCCCCCCUGCUCCUGCAGCUGGCAGCACGCCUGGAGGACAAGGUGCAGGCUGGCCGAGCCGUUCCCUUGUCCUGACACUUGUUUCUCUGCACGUUUUGGCACCUUUCUGCUGCUGAAAGGGGCAGAUGCAAUAACUGCUGGAGUGUCUCCAUCGCUAGGAGUGAGGAGGAGCAAUCAGCCUGACCACGUGCAGGCUUGGGACUUCUCCUCGACCAAGCGGACAGCCCUGAGCAGGAGGAUUUGCCCUGGGAUGUUUUCUCUUUGGGAUGAUCUCAAGAGUCUGGAGCCCUCGUGGACUGCAGAGGGGUUUGGAUGUUCCCUUCUGCCUCCGUCUGGGAGCGAGCCUUGCUGCCUGAAGGCCACGGACACCUGCUUCUCCCCGAAUCUGGUGGAUUAUUGCUCUUGGCAUCGUCCUGCUGCUGCAGCGUUUUUUUUGUGGAUCUCAUGGAGCUGCCUUUGCAUGAAACCACCCAGCUCACAGAUAUGGGAAAGCAGCAGCUCCAGCACAGGGCUCAGAGCCCCUCUCUUUUUUUUUUUUUGGGCUGCUUCAUUCAGCAUCGUGGCUCUUUGGAGGAGGAUGGAGUCUGUGCACCUGUGUAGGACAAGUCCCGCUGGUCUUAGGGUCGGUGGUGAAGGCUGCGGGCACCUGAGAGGGGAGCCACAGGGACCGCGGCCACCCAGCUGAGGAUGGAUGCUUCAACUGCGAGCACGGAGGGAGGAAAAGCAGAGGCAGCACGACACGUCUGGCACCCAGCAGGGGAGCAGGGUGCACCCGGGGCCGUGGCGAGCUCCUGCACCCAGCACCGACCAUGGGAACAGCCCCAGCGCAGCCACCCAGCGUGCGCUCGCCGUGACUCACGUCCCCGCUCGGCGAGGGGUCCUCCCGCACUGACCUCGCUCCGCUGGCUCCCACGCAGGGCAGAGAUGACUGAAUUACUGCUCCCCGCUGGGCUCUGCAAAUUCUCCUCUUGGCCGGGUGGCUUCCAGGCCGGAUACGUGGGGCUGGAUGGCUGAGUGCGCUCAGGUCACACAGUAGCUCCACAUUUUCCCCUGCGAAGGACCAAGCGCUUGCCCGGUUCCAAGGAAGCAGCUGUGGAAUUUUAUUUUAUUUUGUUUUUGUGCCCCUCUGCUCUUCCUUCUGACUCUUUUCGUGGUCUGGGGCUUUUCACGAGGAUGGUUGGACCCAGCCUGCAGCACCGAGUGCGGUCUCCCUGCAGAGGGAUGAAAGCCUCCGGAGGAGCCGCACGCCAGGACCGAGUUGGCAGCCUCAAUGCUGUGGGUUUGAAACUGUCUGGAAGAUUGUCCCCUCGUGUCACCAGCAUUGCACGGCCGUGGGUCACCCAUGGGGGUGCCCUCCCGGUGCAGUGCAGGAGGCGCCGGCUACCCCCGGGGCUGAGCAUCCUCAUCCCCGCCACAUCCCCCAUGGGACGAGGAGGGGCUGGGGGGCACGGGGCCAAGCCGCAGCGAGGGGAAUGUCGAGAGAAAAAAUGUCACCCCCUCCCCCCCAGAAACAAUUAAACGGCUUAAUAAAACCCUUUGCCUCUCUGAGUGCUCGCUGUUC
RNAcentral lists this long non-coding RNA (1810 nucleotides) under Anas platyrhynchos platyrhynchos (common mallard). RNAcentral's name for it is "lncRNA (ENSAPLG00000025546.1)". Lineage: Eukaryota; Metazoa; Chordata; Aves; Anseriformes; Anatidae. The record is from RNAcentral.